GACAAAAUCAAUGCAAGUUUCUCAAUAUGAUGCAUGAGCGCAAGACUCCUUCCACUAUAUUUUAACCGUCUCUGGCGGUGCACUACUCAUAGAACCACGGUUACGCCAGUGACCAACGUUCUUCUUUUCCACAGAAUAAUUUUCCCACACGACCAGACUCAACUAAUCUUCAGAAAUUAUAUAAGUGUCUUGCAAGACUUAUAAUGAGACUGUACGGAGGAAGCAUUCCUAUUUUCAUCCUGGAAAAGGCAGAUCUGAGAGACUCAAUCAAGAUUGUGGCAAAAGAAGUGUUUAAAAUUUGCUGGAGACCAGUCCAACAGAGACAGACACAGGAGUAUUGUGUAUUUCAUGGACAUGAUGUCUUAUGAUGAAGAUGGUGUUGUCUAUGGGAGGCCAGUGUUGGUUAUAAAACCAGCAGCUUUGAUAAGCUCUGUUUCAGGAGCUAAAGAAGGGACUUGAUGCAGACCCACACUAUACUGGGAACUAAUCACUUUCAUGUGAUGACCAGUGACACAGUCAGAUGCCAGUUCAUUUACUGAACUAUAAUUCAGUAAAAGUUCACAAUGUGUUUCAGAUGUUUGUAUAUAUCAUUAUUGCUAAAUUUAGUAUAUUUCAGGUUUUCUUUUUAGAAAAAAAUCUUUAAACCCAAUUAUUGUCCCAGUAUUUAUGUUGUCAACAUUGAUUAAAGGCCUUUAAUAAGAGGCAUAAGCUAAAUGCUGUUUGGGAUUGGGUGGGCUAAAUUUUAAGUUUAACCAAUAAAAUUAAAGCCAAUUCAUGCAGUGGCUCAAUAGCUGUCAAGAUUUAGGGAUGUGCUAAAUAAAUUGUAACCAAUAAAAUCAAAGCCAGUGUACUGUAUGCAGUGACCCAAUUGUUGUCAAGAUUUAAGGGUAGGUUAAGUUUAAGGGCAGCCAAUCCAGUUUGAGAUAAAUGACCAAAAGGGGUGACAAUUUUAUCCAAAAGGUGAGAAAUGCAAAUGUGAUUCAGGUGUGAAAAAGUCUCCUGACAGACAACUUAAGGGAAUUACUUACCAUGGCAACAAAUGGCCAUAACACAGAUGGAAUCGUCAGUCACUCUACAUCUGAAAUUGUAUAUAAUAUGAUGUUUUCAGGCUUGUGGAAUUUGAGACUCUGGGCCAGAAAAUUUCUGAAAACAUCUGAAAUUCAGCGGUUUAUACUGGAGUCUACUGGUCCGGAUACAGCUCUUUUAAUGCAGUGGAACUGAAUUGAAAUGAACAGAAUUAAAUG
Long non-coding RNA from Myxocyprinus asiaticus (Chinese sucker), 1244 nucleotides. RefSeq lists it as uncharacterized. The transcript is spliced from 3 exons. The record is from RefSeq and is a predicted model, not a curated record. NCBI's taxonomy places the organism in Eukaryota, Metazoa, Chordata, Actinopteri, Cypriniformes, Catostomidae.